GGGUAAGUCUUACACAAUCAGCUCCUGUUGAAUCCCCCAGGAUUGGAAGAUAGCAAGGGUAAAUGGUCGUAGCGAUGUGAUGUAAGUAGCUUACCCAUU
This 99-nucleotide signal recognition particle RNA is filed under the name Bacteroidia bacterium. RNAcentral describes it as "signal recognition particle sRNA small type". It matches the Rfam family "Bacteroidales small SRP". Rfam says of the family: The non-coding component of the signal recognition particle in Bacteroides The record is from RNAcentral. Lineage: Bacteria; Pseudomonadati; Bacteroidota; Bacteroidia.